This 507-nucleotide ribosomal RNA is filed under the name uncultured bacterium. RNAcentral's name for it is "partial 16S ribosomal RNA". It matches the Rfam family "Bacterial small subunit ribosomal RNA", at positions 28 to 507 of the family's 1533-position model. The record is from RNAcentral.
GACGAACGCUGGCGGCGUGCCUAAUACAUGCAAGUCGAACGCAUUUUCUUUCACCGUAGCUUGCUACACCGAAAGAAAAUGAGUGGCGAACGGGUGAGUAACACGUGGGUAACCUGCCCAUCAGCGGGGGAUAACACUUGGAAACAGGUGCUAAUACCGCAUAAUUCCAUUUACCGCAUGGUAAAUGGAUGAAAGGCGCUUUUGCGUCACUGAUGGAUGGACCCGCGGUGCAUUAGCUAGUUGGUGGGGUAACGGCCUACCAAGGCUGCGAUGCAUAGCCGACCUGAGAGGGUGAUCGGCCACACUGGGACUGAGACACGGCCCAGACUCCUACGGGAGGCAGCAGUAGGGAAUCUUCGGCAAUGGACGCAAGUCUGACCGAGCAACGCCGCGGGAGUGAAGAAGGUUUUCGGAUUGUAAAACUCUGUUGUUAGAGAAGAACAGGGAUGAGAGUGGAAAGUUCAUCCCUUGACGGUAUCUAACCAGAAAGCCACGGCUAACUACGUG